UACGUAGGGGGCGAGCGUUGUCCGGAUUUAUUGGGCGUAAAGAGCUCGUAGGCGGCUUGGCAAGUGGAAGGUGAAAUCCCUCGGCUUAACCGAGGAACUGCCCUCCAGACUGCUUUGCUUGGAGGCCGGGAGAGGUGAGUGGAAUUCCCAGUGUAGCGGUAGAAAUGCGUAGAUAUUGGGAGGAACACCAGUGGCGAAGGCGGCUCACUGGACCGGUUCUGACGCUGAGGCGCGAAAGCGUGGGGAGCAAACGGG
Molecule: ribosomal RNA, 255 nt
Filed under: uncultured bacterium
Lineage: Bacteria
Description: partial 16S ribosomal RNA
Rfam family: Bacterial small subunit ribosomal RNA
Source: RNAcentral